UACGUAGGUGGCAAGCGUUGUCCGGAAUUAUUGGGCGUAAAGGGCUCGUAGGCGGUUUGUCGCGUCGGGAGUGAAAACACGGGGCUUAACCCCGUGCCUGCUUCCGAUACGGGCAGACUAGAGGUAUGCAGGGGAGAACGGAAUUCCUGGUGUAGCGGUGAAAUGCGCAGAUAUCAGGAGGAACACCGGUGGCGAAGGCGGUUCUCUGGGCAUUACCUGACGCUGAGGAGCGAAAGUGUGGGGAGCGAACAGG
Molecule: ribosomal RNA, 253 nt
Filed under: uncultured bacterium
Lineage: Bacteria
Description: partial 16S ribosomal RNA
Rfam family: Bacterial small subunit ribosomal RNA
Source: RNAcentral